RNAcentral lists this small nucleolar RNA (134 nucleotides) under Felis catus (domestic cat). RNAcentral describes it as "Small nucleolar RNA SNORA70 (ENSFCAG00000044015.1, ENSFCTG00005029181.1)". It matches the Rfam family "Small nucleolar RNA SNORA70". From Rfam's summary of the family: snoRNA U70 seems to be exclusive to mammals and is a member of the H/ACA class of snoRNA which contain H (ANANNA) and ACA box motifs. H/ACA box snoRNAs are involved in the conversion of uridines to pseudouridines (5-ribosyluracil) a constituent of structural RNAs (transfer, ribosomal, small nuclear, and small nucleolar). The record is from Rfam by way of RNAcentral. Lineage: Eukaryota; Metazoa; Chordata; Mammalia; Carnivora; Felidae.
CUGCAGCCAAUUAAGCGGACUGUGCUCUUUCCCCACAGGGGCCCAGUAUGCAAUGGCCACACACAGUAGCCUCCUUGGUAGUGUAUGAAGCCUGUUGAUUGUAUGGGUUGCCCUAAGGGGCCUUGGGGACAGCC